CAAGGAAGGGAUGAUUCAAAAAUACUUGGUAGUGGAUUUGUUACCAUCAGUUCAUUGAAAAAACAAAUGUGCUCUGGAAUAAAAUUCAAUGGCAAAUAUGUGACAAGCUGAACCUUUUAAAUCAUUUCACAUCUCAAGGUAGUGCUGAAAUCAUUUUUUCCGAAUAAGUACAAGUGCGUCAAUGAAAAAAUGAAUCCCGUGACCAACAUUGAAAAUGCUUGGGUUUCACCUUUUGCGGCGAAGAGAAAAAGGAUUGGAGAUGGACCAUCCACAACUGACGAAGUCCAUCCGAUCAAUGGGAAUCCCACAGAGGAGACUCCAAGAAGCAAGCCCUUGGGUCUGUACAAGAUAGUUCAUCUUAGGGAAUGGGAAUCCGAAUUCGAAGUGGCGACAAGAGGCACAGCAUGGACUUUUAAGCCAGGGGAUGAUUCGGAACAUGUGAUGGAUUCUGGCGAUGUUACAAUGGGUUAAGAAAAUAGGAAACCAAAUAAAACUAAGUUUGGCUUUGGUACAAAGACCUAACUUCAAGUUGAAAUACUAA
This is a long non-coding RNA of Drosophila erecta, 541 nucleotides long. RefSeq lists it as uncharacterized. The transcript has 2 exons. The record is from RefSeq and is a predicted model, not a curated record. NCBI's taxonomy places the organism in Eukaryota, Metazoa, Arthropoda, Insecta, Diptera, Drosophilidae.